UGAAAGAAUCUGUAAAGCUCAGGAGGGAUAGCGCCCGAAUAAACUACAUAUAAAUCAUGUUUAUAUGGCGCUAUCUAUCCUGAGCCUCACCGCUUCUUCUU
This 101-nucleotide microRNA precursor is filed under the name Helianthus annuus (common sunflower). RNAcentral's name for it is "sRNA HanXRQr2_Chr11g0493421". It matches the Rfam family "MIR390 microRNA precursor family". The record is from Rfam by way of RNAcentral. Lineage: Eukaryota; Viridiplantae; Streptophyta; Magnoliopsida; Asterales; Asteraceae.